AGCUAUCAAUAGAAUUUUUACAAUGCCAGAAUUAUCUCAGCCGUCCAUCAUACUUGACGAUUGAACUUCCACCGUCCGAUCUAUCAGGUCAGUCAAACUAUAAAUUGAAAAUUUCUAAUUUUAUCUCAUUUUUUGUGUUAUUUUCUCUCUCUUCUCAUCAUCUCUCUAUUCUCUCUCCUCCCUUCCGAUUCACCUAAACCCUAAUCUAUCUCAGCCAAAAUCUAUGAUUUUCAGUACGUUUUUAAGAAAAAUGAUCCGAUCAAUCGAUCCCUGAUCCUCUAAAUCAUGUUUUCACCGAUCGAUUUCUUAAAAAAUAGCUUAUAAAAUGUUUCCUCAGAAUUUUUUAUUUUUUAAAAUCAAACAAUCUAUUAUCAUCUAAACCUUUAAAUAUCUUCAAAAAAAUUUCUGAUUUUAUAUUUUUAGAACUGUUGAAUUCUCUUUUAUUUCUUUUCAAUUUGUUUAAUUUUUUGCCGAUCUAUAUUUUCAAAAUUUUUAUAGAUCUAUAUUUUUUUAAAACUCGUUGCAUUUUUAACGGGAUAAAUACAUUUUUGGUACCUGGACUGGGACCCGAUUUACAAUUUGAUACUUAAAGUGAAAAAACUUACAAACUAGUUAUUGUACUCGAAAAUUGUUGUAAUCCGUUAAACAAUAGGGUUUCAUCCCUGUUCCGUUUGAAAAUUUGAUAGGUUAGAUGCAAGGAUGACAUGGUGAUGACUGGGUAACAAAGUUUAAUUGAUGUGUAUUUUCCAUUUAUAAAGGCUGAUUAGCAAAAACUGAAGAUAGAAACAGUGCAAAAAUAAAGAACUCGAUAUUUGGGAGAAAAAAAAUUAAAGUUCUUCUCUCACUCACCAAAAAUCAUCGAAGAGAUCGAACCGAGAGGAUUAAUCCCGCAAGAUCGUUUGGGAGGCUAGGAAUUAGGGUUAGGGUUUGAAUCUGGGAAUCUUUGUUUGGGAAUCUUUGCUAGUGAAUGAGGAAGAUGAAGAAGGGGAUAUCUCUUCUAUAUAUAUAUAUGUGUGUGUGUGUGUGUAUGCUCACCUUGAAAAAUCUGUAUUGAAUUAUUCACAAUCUGAGUCAAUUCUAUGAACUAUAAAAUUACAUAAAUUUACAGGUCAUCUCUCUGUCACUAAUCGAUCAAUUUCUAUGAUUUGUGAAAUGGGAAAUUGAGAAUUCUCUAUUUAGAUAUGUGAAUUCUUUACUCAACUGUUUCAGUCACCGUUUAUCCACCUUUUAAGAACCUUAAAAAGGAUUAUAGAUGUUAGGUCGGUUUCUUCUUUUUCAAGAUUUUGACCUUUACUAGGAAUUUUAAUGGAGGAGCAAUACA
This 1321-nucleotide long non-coding RNA is filed under the name Panax ginseng (ginseng). RNAcentral's name for it is "long non-coding RNA (PGIN_LNC012146)". The record is from RNAcentral. Lineage: Eukaryota; Viridiplantae; Streptophyta; Magnoliopsida; Apiales; Araliaceae.